This 19-nucleotide unclassified non-coding RNA is filed under the name Chlamydomonas reinhardtii. RNAcentral describes it as "small RNA Cre_2681". The record is from RNAcentral. Lineage: Eukaryota; Viridiplantae; Chlorophyta; Chlorophyceae; Chlamydomonadales; Chlamydomonadaceae.
UCGGACGAGCAGAUGGAGG